CGGGCAGGUGGUCCGUUAAGUCGUCUGUGAAAAUCCGGGGCUCAACCCCGUGAAAUGCAGGCGAUACUGGCGGACUGGAGAUCGGUAGAGGCUAGCGGAAUUCCUGGUGUAGCGGUGGAAUGCGUAGAUAUCAGGAAGAACACCCGUGGCGAAGGCGGCUAGCUGGGCCGAGUCUGACACUCAUCCGCGAAAGCGUGGGGAGCAAACA
RNAcentral lists this ribosomal RNA (208 nucleotides) under uncultured bacterium. Its description in RNAcentral is "partial 16S ribosomal RNA". It matches the Rfam family "Bacterial small subunit ribosomal RNA", at positions 568 to 774 of the family's 1533-position model. The record is from RNAcentral.